RNAcentral lists this small RNA (125 nucleotides) under Marmota monax (woodchuck). The record is from RNAcentral. Lineage: Eukaryota; Metazoa; Chordata; Mammalia; Rodentia; Sciuridae.
GCUGGGUGUAGUGGCACAUGCCUGUAAUCCCUGUGACUUGGGAGGCUGAGACAGGAGGAUCACAAAUUCAAAGCCAGCCAGAGCGAUGGUGAGGUGCUAAACAACUCAGUGAGACCCUGUCUCUA